GGGGGUGCAUUGGUUUCGACUUGGAAGCUAAGUACCGAUGGCAUGCAGAGGGUUCGGUUGGCCUCUUAAAAAAGCCGAAACGACAUUAACUGUCAAAAAACAAAAAACUGUAAGCAUCGCUUCUCACGCCGGUUACACCGUUGCUGAUAAAGCGACUGCUGCGGCUGCUGCAUAAGACCUAACCCGUCUAUUGCAACCGAUAGCCUAGAAUUUGACCAGGGAUUUUAGACCUAUCGUAAGAGAUCUUGGUAUGAGCCCUAUUGCUUGACUUCCAGCGGCGGGGCCUCGAGAUAAAAGGAAGUGUGCAAGCUCCGAGUGGGGCGCCUUACAGCAAAGCUUGCACUAAAUUUAAGACGCUAAGCAUGUAGGCAUUGUUAUGGCGUUUGCCAAGGACGAGAGUUCGAUUCUCUCCA
RNAcentral lists this transfer-messenger RNA (413 nucleotides) under Chlamydiia bacterium. RNAcentral's name for it is "partial transfer-messenger RNA". It matches the Rfam family "transfer-messenger RNA". From Rfam's summary of the family: Bacterial tmRNA, also known as 10Sa RNA or SsrA, is named for its dual tRNA and mRNA-like properties. Its role is to liberate the mRNA from a stalled ribosome. To accomplish this part of the tmRNA is used as a reading frame that ends in a translation stop signal. The record is from RNAcentral. Lineage: Bacteria; Pseudomonadati; Chlamydiota; Chlamydiia.